Molecule: ribosomal RNA, 468 nt
Filed under: uncultured bacterium
Lineage: Bacteria
Description: partial 16S ribosomal RNA
Rfam family: Bacterial small subunit ribosomal RNA
Source: RNAcentral
GAUGAACGCUGGCGGCGUGCUUAAUACAUGCAAGUCGAACGGAAAGACCCGGCUCUUGUUUGUUUCUCGUUAGGCGAAGACGGGAGUAACACGUGAGUAACCUCCCCUUAUCAGUGUGGUAAAUUCACGAAACUGCGGCGAAUACCGGAGAUAAGCUCCUGCUCCAUGUGGUGCGUUGGAAAGUGUCGGCGGUUGUGGAUGGACUGGAGGCUUAUGAGCUGGUUUGUGGAGUAGGUGCUUACGAAGCCUUUGAGGGGUAGCCGGCAUGGGAGGGUGACCGGCCACCUUGGGACUGCGGUACGGCGCAGACUCCUACGGGAGGCAGCGGUGGGGAAUCUUGCACAAUGGGGGGAAGCCUGAUGCAGAAGUGCCGCGUGCGGGAUGAUGGGUUUCGGGUUGUAAACAGAUUUGGAAUGUGCUGAAGAGAGCGUGACGGUAAUGGGUCAGGAAGCCACGGCUAACUACGUG